RNAcentral lists this ribosomal RNA (478 nucleotides) under uncultured bacterium. RNAcentral describes it as "partial 16S ribosomal RNA". It matches the Rfam family "Bacterial small subunit ribosomal RNA", at positions 28 to 523 of the family's 1533-position model. The record is from RNAcentral.
GACGAACGCUGGCGGCGUGCUUAACACAUGCAAGUCGAACGGUAAGGCCCUUCGGGGUACACGAGUGGCGAACGGGUGAGUAACACGUGGGUGAUCUGCCCUGCACUUCGGGAUAAGCCUGGGAAACUGGGUCUAAUACCGGAUAGGACCACUGCCUGCAUGGGUGGUGGUGGAAAGCUUUUGCGGUGUGGGAUGGGCCCGCGGCCUAUCAGCUUGUUGGUGGGGUGAUGGGCUAGCAAGGCGACGACGGGUAGCCGGCCUGAGAGGGUGACCGGCCACACUGGGACUGGGAUACGGCCCAGACUCCUACGGGAGGCAGCAGUGGGGAAUAUUGCACAAUGGGCGCAAGCCUGAUGCAGCGACGCCGCGUGGGGGAUGACGGCCUUCGGGUUGUAAACCUCUUUCAGCACCGACGAAGCGCAAGUGACGGUAGGUGCAGAAGAAGGACCGGCCAACUACGUGCCAGCCGCCGCUGUAA